AUGAUGUCAUGUCUAUGUUGUGGGCCCGUGUGUUAUCUAUGUUUGUCUUUGUGUACCAGUUUGUCAUAGAUGAUGGAAUUGGGCUAAAAUGGUGCAAGAAAACGGUGUGCUAGACAAUGGUUUAUCGGAUUUGCAUUGUUAAAUGUAAAAAUUAGAAAUUAUAGAAUAAUCUGAGGUUUGUGGGCAGAAACUGGUCCAACGAGGAGAGUGCCCAGCCCUCAUAAAAAAUGUGAGAGUAAGAGAGAACAUACGUUGUAGAAUUGGAUAAAAUUAAAUUGUGAUUGCAGAUGUUACAUUUAGGAGGAAUUAUUGAUCGAUUAGACUAUACAAGGUGGUAACAUGUAAGAAUAAGUCAAAGAUUUGAAUCACUUAGAGUUAAAAACAACAAAUAAAAACGACAUUGCAUGGGGCACUUUUUAUUAAAAGAACACCAAGUAAAGUAUUAAGUAGGGGGCAUUCGUGAUUGGGAUUAAAUUUAGGAUAAAAUUAGGUCAAUGAUUAGAAAUCAAUGGUGUUCCUUGUUAUUCUCUUAUCCCCUGCAUUGUAAAUAUCUUCUUUAUGCAGAUAGGUUAACAGGCUAGGAAUUUAGUGAGGAGAUAAUUGAUCAAUUGAUGGGGGUUAAUAAUUGUCCAAAUUCUAGUCACAUGUUUUGAGGGACCACAACAACAACAUUAUAUUUAAUUUGCAGGCCAUUAUUUAGUAUGUGAUGACAGUGUCUAGAUAAGUAGACUGUUUUAUCAAAAAAUGUGAGAGUGAAGGAGGUUUGAUUUGUAAUCUGGCAUUUGGGUGCCACUUUUAAGAGUCUGUGCAGGAGCAUAGAUUGUUUUUGUUUGUUUGUUUAUCUCGGUGCAGUAAGGAUAUAGCAAUUUUGAAAGACUUAAAAUUAAAAGCAAAAUUACAUUUUAAUUCUGACAUAUGCCAGCUAACAUGAGGAUGGCAAAUAAAUAAAUGAAUUCUAAAUUCUAUAAAUGACUAGCUCAAAUGUGGCAUGUGUUUUAAAUUGGGCGAUAAGACAUUCACUUUCAAGCACUAUCCUUUAGCGCUGCUGACAAUAAUAACUUAUGAGAUGUUAAAUCAAGGAGGAGUGUCAUAUUUGGAACACAGGCGCUGUAUGACCUAUAGAUUGAACAAUAACAUUUGCUGCAUAUACAACCAUGUUGGUAGAAUGUUAAAUUACAUUACAGUUUAUUACAAAGGAUUUCGGAACUUUAUUUGAUGAUAAACACUGGAACGAGGAUUUUAGCCGUGUUAAUGGGUAGGGUGGAUGGAUUACUCAGAA
Long non-coding RNA from Syngnathus acus (greater pipefish), 1279 nucleotides. RefSeq lists it as uncharacterized. The record is from RefSeq and is a predicted model, not a curated record. The transcript has 2 exons. NCBI's taxonomy places the organism in Eukaryota, Metazoa, Chordata, Actinopteri, Syngnathiformes, Syngnathidae.